UGGACAGAAAGACCCUAUGAAGCUUUACUGUAACUUGAAAUUGAAAUUGGACUUUAUUCGCGCAGCAUAGGUGGGAGGCGUUGAUUAUAAUCUUGCGGGAUUAUUGGAGCCAUCAGUGAGAUACCACCCUUGUAAUGUUGGAUUUCUAACUUUGAAUCAUUAUCUGGUCAAAGGACAGUUUCAGGCGGGCAGUUUGACUGGGGCGGUCGCCUCCUAAACGGUAACGGAGGCGUACAAAGGUUUCCUCUGAACGGUUAGAAAUCGUAUCUAGAGUGUAAAGGCAUAAGGAAGCUUGACUGUGAGACCUACAAGUCGAGCAGGGACGAAAGUCGGUCUUAGUGAUCUGACGGUACUGAGUGGAAAGGCCGUCACUCAACGGAUAAAAGUUACUCUAGGGAUAACAGGCU
RNAcentral lists this ribosomal RNA (407 nucleotides) under uncultured eukaryote. RNAcentral's name for it is "bacterial LSU rRNA". It matches the Rfam family "Bacterial large subunit ribosomal RNA", at positions 2077 to 2483 of the family's 2925-position model. The record is from RNAcentral.